CGCCGAAACCGGGGCCGCCCAUGGCGGCCCUGUUCGUCCCGGUGUGUUGGCCGGGGCCUGACGAUGGCAGACACCA
Molecule: non-coding RNA, 76 nt
Filed under: Pseudomonadota bacterium
Lineage: Bacteria; Pseudomonadati; Pseudomonadota
Source: RNAcentral